This 483-nucleotide unclassified non-coding RNA is filed under the name Hevea brasiliensis (rubber tree). Lineage: Eukaryota; Viridiplantae; Streptophyta; Magnoliopsida; Malpighiales; Euphorbiaceae. The record is from RNAcentral.
CAUGAUUUGGCAUCUCUCUUUCAUGUAAUCAGUCUAGGAGAUACGAUUAAGUUCUCUUUAUCUCCUUCGAAAUCGAAGGACCGUUUAUCAACCAAUGUGUCUGGCGUACCCCUUGAUGAAAGGAAUUUGAUUAUUAAAGCCCUUAACCUAUACAGGAAGAAAACAGGCACUGACAACUUCUUCUGGAUUCAUCUAGACAAGAAGGUGCCUACUGGGGCAGGGCUUGGUGGUGGAAGCAGUAAUGCAGCAACUGCCCUAUGGGCAGCAAAUCAGUUNCAGUGGCGGUCUUGCCACUGAGAAGGAACUGCUAGAAUGGUCAAGUGAGAUUGGUUCAGAUAUCUCCUUCUUUUUUUCUCGUGGAGCAGCCUAUUGUACUGGUCGGGGUGAAAUUGUUCAAGAUAUUCCUACACCAGUUCCUCUCGACCUUCCAAUGGUUCUCAUAAAGCCCCAGGAGGCUUGUUCAACUGCUGAAGUUUACAAGCG